This 465-nucleotide ribosomal RNA is filed under the name uncultured bacterium. Its description in RNAcentral is "partial 16S ribosomal RNA". It matches the Rfam family "Bacterial small subunit ribosomal RNA", at positions 28 to 507 of the family's 1533-position model. The record is from RNAcentral.
GACGAACGCUGGCGGCGUGCUUAACACAUGCAAGUCGUACGGUAAGGCCCUUUCGGGGGUACACGAGUGGCGAACGGGUGCGUAACACGUGAGUAACCUGCCCACAACUUUGGGAUAACGCUAGGAAACUGGUGCUAAUACUGGAUAUGUGCUCCUGCUGCAUGGUGGGGGUUGGAAAGCUCCGGCGGUUGUGGAUGGACUCGCGGCCUAUCAGCUUGUUGGUGGGGUAGUGGCCUACCAAGGCGGCGACGGGUAGCCGGCCUGAGAGGGUGACCGGCCACAUUGGGACUGAGAUACGGCCCAGACUCCUACGGGAGGCAGCAGUGGGGAAUAUUGCACAAUGGGCGCAAGCCGGAUGCAGCAACGCCGCGUGCGGGAUGACGGACUUCGGGUUGUAAACCGCUUUCAGCAGGGACGAAGCUUUUUGUGACGGUACCUGCAGAAGAAGCACCGGCUAACUACGUG